RNAcentral lists this long non-coding RNA (209 nucleotides) under Gossypium raimondii (Peruvian cotton). RNAcentral describes it as "long non-coding RNA (GRAI_LNC008537)". The record is from RNAcentral. Lineage: Eukaryota; Viridiplantae; Streptophyta; Magnoliopsida; Malvales; Malvaceae.
AGUUUGCAACUACUUUCUCGUAGAAUAGUUUCAUUAAUAUCAAUAGAACAUAUACUUCACCUAAAUGGACACAAAAGCUACAAUCACUUACUCUAUCAUCCGAAACAUACUGGUUGACUAGUAUCUAUACUCCUACUGAGUAUAACUCUCCAUUUGCGGAUAGAAUAUGCCAAGCACUACAACCAGCAGAUACGUUUCGUCCAAAACAC